This 424-nucleotide ribosomal RNA is filed under the name uncultured bacterium. Its description in RNAcentral is "bacterial SSU rRNA". It matches the Rfam family "Bacterial small subunit ribosomal RNA", at positions 354 to 795 of the family's 1533-position model. The record is from RNAcentral.
GUGGGGAAUAUUGGACAAUGGGCGCAAGCCUGAUCCAGCCAUGCCGCGUGAGUGAUGAAGGCCUUAGGGUUGUAAAGCUCUUUCAGUGGGGACGAUAAUGACGGUACCCACAGAAGAAGCCCCGGCUAACUUCGUGCCAGCAGCCGCGGUAAUACGAAGGGGGCUAGCGUUGUUCGGAUUUACUGGGCGUAAAGCGCACGUAGGCGGAUCGUUAAGUCGGGGGUGAAAUCCUGGAGCUCAACUCCAGAACUGCCUUCGAUACUGGCGAUCUUGAGUCCGGAAGAGGUGAGUGGAACUCCUAGUGUAGAGGUGGAAUUCGUAGAUAUUAGGAAGAACACCAGUGGCGAAGGCGGCUCACUGGUCCGGUACUGACGCUGAGGUGCGAAAGCGUGGGGAGCAAACAGGAUUAGAAACCCCGGUAGUC